RNAcentral lists this ribosomal RNA (254 nucleotides) under uncultured bacterium. RNAcentral's name for it is "partial 16S ribosomal RNA". It matches the Rfam family "Bacterial small subunit ribosomal RNA", at positions 524 to 776 of the family's 1533-position model. The record is from RNAcentral.
UACGUAGGGGGCGAGCGUUGUCCGGAUUUAUUGGGCGUAAAGAGCUCGUAGGCGGUUCGAUAAGUCGGACGUGAAAUCUCCACGCUCAACGUGGAGGGGCCGUUCGAUACUGUCGUGACUCGAGUCCGGUAGGGGAGUGUGGAAUUCCUGGUGUAGCGGUGAAAUGCGCAGAUAUCAGGAGGAACACCAGCGGCGAAGGCGGCGCUCUGGGCCGGUACUGACGCUGAGGAGCGAAAGCGUGGGGAGCAAACAGG